UACGAAGGGGGCUAGCGUUGUUCGGAAUUACUGGGCGUAAAGCGCGUGUAGGCGGGCCGUUAAGUCGGGGGUGAAAGCCCAGAGCUCAACUCUGGAAUUGCCUUCGAUACUGGCGGCCUGGAGCAUGAUAGAGGCGAGUGGAAUUGCGAGUGUAGAGGUGAAAUUCGUAGAUAUUUGCAGGAACACCAGUGGCGAAGGCGGCUCGCUGGAUCAUUGCUGACGCUGAGACGCGAAAGCGUGGGGAGCACACAGG
This 253-nucleotide ribosomal RNA is filed under the name uncultured bacterium. RNAcentral's name for it is "partial 16S ribosomal RNA". It matches the Rfam family "Bacterial small subunit ribosomal RNA", at positions 524 to 776 of the family's 1533-position model. The record is from RNAcentral.